Long non-coding RNA from Oncorhynchus tshawytscha (Chinook salmon), 2634 nucleotides. The record is from Ensembl. NCBI's taxonomy places the organism in Eukaryota, Metazoa, Chordata, Actinopteri, Salmoniformes, Salmonidae.
CUCAGCUUGGCAGGGGCAGGACACAGACUCCCUUGUUUUCCUGAUGUCUCGUUGUCAAGAGCUCCAUACUGUGGUUCAGCCCGGUCAGAAUGAAACACAUUGAGCACCGGUACAUUCCAAGAUGACACAUUUAUUGGUCUACAAAAGUAGUCGUUUUAACAGAAGCAAGAGAAAUGAAAAUGUUUGAAGAGGAAGAGAGCACAACUAGUGGAAUUACUCCUUUAAUGAACACAAACAAAACAUGCUCUAAAAGCUAAAUGUUGCAAUUCUCCAUGAAUGACUCAACUUGGUUUCAUUCAGUUAGGAAAUAGUGUCUAAUAAGUCUGCGUGUCCCAAAUGACACACUAUUCCCUACAUAGUGCACUACAUUUGACCAGUUGAAAGUAGUGCUCUAUAUAAAGGAAUAGAUUGCCCUUUGGGACACAGACAAAGAGUUGUAUUGCUCCUAUGGGACUGGUUAUAUGAAAACCCAGAAUAGAGAAUGAACCUGUUAACCAGGGAUCUUCUUUCCUGAGUCAGUCAGUCAGACAACACUAGCUACAUCAGACAAAAACAACCCCUUUACAUGCUGUAGCAGACAGGCUUCUUUUACACUGGAUUUGGUCAAACUUCUCAUCCUAAAUCCUAUAUCCUCAUCUGAUGUCAAUUGGUGAGAGAACAACUUGAUCAAACCUAACUUUAUAGAUAAUGCUUUUGAAUUACAAGACUCAUCUUUUAAUAUUUAAUUUAACAGGCACUGUUUUAAAAAAAAUAUGAAAAUGUCCUUGUUCUUAACAAAUGAAAAGGGAAACUCUAUAGUACAACAUCAACAGCACAACCUAACCUACAUAUGACACUCCAUAAUAACUACAGUUUGCUUUUCCAAAAAAGCUAUAAUAAAUUACUGCAUGACACCCUAUUCCCUAUGUACCGUAGUGCACUACUUUGAACCAGGGCCCAUAGAGCUCUGGUCAAAAGAAGUGUCACUUGUAAGGAAUAGGGUACCAUUUGGUACAUACCCAUUGACUCGGGCCUUUUCCUUCCAACAGCAGUUUAAUGCUUCACUAGGCUAUAACACCACUGGUAGAAAGAACAAAAAGACAUCUCACAUGUUUUGUAAAGUCUAAAAACAAAAAGUAGGAAAACCUAUAACCUUGGCUUCUCAGAUAUACAAUAUGCUCAGAUAGUACUUGUAUUCAACAACCAGACCGGGGUUCAAUUACUACUUGAAAUCUUUCAAAAACAUUCAGUUUGCUCUCGUCUAGUAUGCCUGGAGUGCCUGAUGGGCGGGGCUUGCAGUCCUUGUGACUAUUCUAUUGGUUCCAUUGUGCCAGUCAAGCUCAGAUAAAGUAUUUGAAAUUAUAUAGUAUUUAAACCCAGGUCUGUCAACAACACAGGUGUACCGAAACGCUUUGCCUAUAAAGCACAGACACAUUUUCUCAUGUAAAAACCAAGGCCAUGUUCAAAAUAUGUAGAAAAUCCGAAGGCAUGUUAACAUCAUCAGAUUACAAUCGGGGAGCAACGACAUUCAGUUCAAACCAAAAAUCUUAUUUUUAUAAAGUCUUACUUGUUUUCCUGCUGUUUUUCUGAGGCCAUUGUAGGUCAGAGUGGGUUGAAUGGUAUUUGUGUUGUGGCAGGCUGCAGCUGUAGCCCCAAGGGCUGAGAUCAAUCCAACACGCACUGCAGGUAUUUCACAUUGUGGAAAAGUCCUACUAGCUCCUGUGUUCCAGCAAUACACCAUCUCAUUCAAAUCCAAUAACAGUAACUCAUUUCAAUCAAAUCCAAACCUGAUUUCUUCCAAUUAGCAUUGAUUGAUUCAUCAGUAUUCAUGCCGUUGUUUUUGUAAAAAGACCAAUGUAAUGGGUUUUUUCUGUACUGCAUGUUUGCUUGAAUGUCAGUCCUAUUAGAGGAGUUAGGAUCAUGGGACACAAAGUUACAAAACAAGCCUUUCUUGGGGCUUAUUCAGUAGUGGGGCGGCAGGGUAGCCUAGUGGUUAGAGCAUUGGACUAGUAACCGAAAGGUUGCAAGUUCAUAUCCCCGAGCUGACAAGGUACACAUCUGUCGUUCCGCCCCUGAACAGGCAGUUAACCCACUGUUCCUAGGUGUCAUUGAAAAUAAGAAUUUGUUCUUAACUGACUUGCCUAGUUAAAUAAAGGUACAAUUUAAAGGCUGCACCAUUUACUAGGCCAUUGCAGAUAGAGAUAUUUCACACAAUAUAUUUCUAUGUAAAUGUUGUUGUGCCCCUCCAGAAUAAGCCCCUGCCCCAUGUUGUGAAUCAGGAAGUGUUUGUGUUAUCUCCCUCCCCAUGUUCUUCCUGGAUAUACAGCACCACGGGAGUGACUGACCUCUCAAGUUGACCCCUGGACCACAACUGACAGGCUGAACGACAGGCGAGAUGCUAGAGUGACAUGUAUGACAUUAUUAAGAAUAGAACACGUAUUUUAUUCUGCCUCGUGGUUUUAACCACAAUUUGGUCUUUUAUACAUAGAUGUGUUAUUAGGUCUCUUAAGGAUUUCCAAUGUGAAUCAUAUAGGCCUACUUAUUUUCCCAUGGGGCAACUGGAUAUUUGUUUGUAUUUAAAAUUAAGUAGUUUCACUAGGGAUGUUUUCCCACUCACUACAGUCAGAAGUUGUGGUUUCACUAGGGAUGUUUUCC